This 87-nucleotide transfer RNA is filed under the name Candidatus Falkowbacteria bacterium RIFOXYA2_FULL_38_12. RNAcentral describes it as "tRNA-Leu". It matches the Rfam family "tRNA". Rfam says of the family: Transfer RNA (tRNA) molecules are approximately 80 nucleotides in length. Their secondary structure includes four short double-helical elements and three loops (D, anti-codon, and T loops). The record is from RNAcentral. RNAcentral also lists the same sequence under 1 other name. Lineage: Bacteria; Candidatus Falkowiibacteriota.
GGGCGAGUGGCGGAAUAGGCAGACGCGCACGACUCAAAAUCGUGUGGGAGUAAUCCCAUGAGGGUUCGAUUCCCUCCUUGCCCACCA